AACGCUGGCGGCGUGCCUAAUACAUGCAAGUCGAACGCACAGCGAAAGGUGCUUGCACCUUUCAAGUGAGUGGCGAACGGGUGAGUAACACGUGGACAACCUGCCUCAAGGCUGGGGAUAACAUUUGGAAACAGAUGCUAAUACCGAAUAAAACUUAGUGUCGCAUGACACAAAGUUAAAAGGCGCUUCGGCGUCACCUAGAGAUGGAUCCGCGGUGCAUUAGUUAGUUGGUGGGGUAAAGGCCUACCAAGACAAUGAUGCAUAGCCGAGUUGAGAGACUGAUCGGCCACAUUGGGACUGAGACACGGCCCAAACUCCUACGGGAGGCUGCAGUAGGGAAUCUUCCACAAUGGGCGAAAGCCUGAUGGAGCAACGCCGCGUGUGUGAUGAAGGCUUUCGGGUCGUAAAGCACUGUUGUAUGGGAAGAACAGCUAGAAUAGGAAAUGAUUUUAGUUUGACGGUACCAUACCAGAAAGGGACGGCUAAAUACGUGCCAGCAGCCGCGGUAAUACGUAUGUCCCGAGCGUUAUCCGGAUUUAUUGGGCGUAAAGCGAGCGCAGACGGUUUAUUAAGUCUGAUGUGAAAGCCCGGAGCUCAACUCCGGAAUGGCAUUGGAAACUGGUUAACUUGAGUGCAGUAGAGGUAAGUGGAACUCCAUGUGUAGCGGUGGAAUGCGUAGAUAUAUGGAAGAACACCAGUGGCGAAGGCGGCUUACUGGACUGCAACUGACGUUGAGGCUCGAAAGUGUGGGUAGCAAACAGGAUUAGAUACCCUGGUAGUCCACACCGUAAACGAUGAACACUAGGUGUUAGGAGGUUUCCGCCUCUUAGUGCCGAAGCUAACGCAUUAAGUGUUCCGCCUGGGGAGUACGACCGCAAGGUUGAAACUCAAAGGAAUUGACGGGGACCCGCACAAGCGGUGGAGCAUGUGGUUUAAUUCGAAGCAACGCGAAGAACCUUACCAGGUCUUGACAUCCUUUGAAGCUUUUAGAGAUAGAAGUGUUCUCUUCGGAGACAAAGUGACAGGUGGUGCAUGGUCGUCGUCAGCUCGUGUCGUGAGAUGUUGGGUUAAGUCCCGCAACGAGCGCAACCCUUAUUGUUAGUUGCCAGCAUUCAGAUGGGCACUCUAGCGAGACUGCCGGUGACAAACCGGAGGAAGGCGGGGACGACGUCAGAUCAUCAUGCCCCUUAUGACCUGGGCUACACACGUGCUACAAUGGCGUAUACAACGAGUUGCCAACCCGCGAGGGUGAGCUAAUCUCUUAAAGUACGUCUCAGUUCGGAUUGUAGUCUGCAACUCGACUACAUGAAGUCGGAAUCGCUAGUAAUCGCGGAUCAGCACGCCGCGGUGAAUACGUUCCCGGGUCUUGUACACACCGCCCGUCACACCAUGGGAGUUUGUAAUGCCCAAAGCCGGUGGCCUAACCUUUUAGGAAGGAGCCGUCUAAGGCAGGACAGAUGACUGGGGUGAAGU
RNAcentral lists this ribosomal RNA (1473 nucleotides) under Leuconostoc mesenteroides. RNAcentral describes it as "bacterial SSU rRNA". It matches the Rfam family "Bacterial small subunit ribosomal RNA". RNAcentral also lists the same sequence under 1 other name. The record is from RNAcentral. Lineage: Bacteria; Bacillati; Bacillota; Bacilli; Lactobacillales; Lactobacillaceae.